Molecule: non-coding RNA, 1511 nt
Organism: Oryzias latipes (Japanese medaka)
Lineage: Eukaryota; Metazoa; Chordata; Actinopteri; Beloniformes; Adrianichthyidae
Source: RefSeq, a predicted model, not a curated record
ACUGCUUAUUAAACGUUUGAUCUGCUAAAAGCAAACGUGACUGGUUUCUUUCCAGAUCUCUAUUUCAAACAUUAGCCAAGAAAUGUUACUAGAGUGCAACCAUUCUAGGAGUUUAGGAGGUAAUUCUUUGUGGACAUCCUUUACUCCAGAUCUGUUUUGUCUUGCUGCUCUAGUGCUGCAUAAUGGAAGGAAUGUGAGCUACAAAAACACACGCAUGUAUUUCCGCCUCCACCAUCCAGAAUCAUUUCAAUUGGUAUGAAAAUGACCAAAAAGGGUUCGUGAAGCAUCCAAGUCCGGGACAUGGAGACUCAAAGGGCCUAUAUUAAGGCUGCACGAUGUGAGGAAAACCUGCGAUUCGCGAUAUUAGUGAUCAAAAUAGCAAUAUAACUUGCGAUACAUGAACAAACAGCUAAAAAACCAAAAACUAUUUCACUGCAACAGUUUAAUUUAAAUAAGAGUCAACAUAACUUAAAUACUCCAAAUGGCCUUAGUCCACGUAAAAGGCCAACUUCUAACAUAGAAAGGGCUCCAUCCGAUUGGUUAACAACCAGAAGGCAACCAUCUGAUUGGUCAGAUGCAUAAAUGGAUUUAUUUGAUUCGUUAAAUACUUAAAGCUGCCAUAAGAGUGUUUUAGCACAUUUAAGGUUACCAGUUUUUUGCAAUUUUCGCCAACUUUUGCAAUAUGUGUAUUGCACAGCUUGACAUUUCUAUAACAUUAAAUUUGCGAUACAUUGUGCAGGCCUAGCCAAUAUCAUGCCUUUCUUAAACUUUUCAGAUUAUAUAUAUUGAUAUUUUCAUAUCCAUAUACUAAAGAAAAAGUUUUUUGAAAUGUUGAGUUAUUUUCACAAGCUCAUUUUCCUACGCUGAAGUAAGACGACUCGAUCUCUGAGGCUCCACCUUCCGCUCUUUGUGGGUGCCGCCCAUUUCAUGACGUCAACCUAGAGCCGGCCUCAAAAGCCAGGAAAACUAACAAAAUCCCAGCUUUUGCAAAGAUACAUGUGCAUAUUGUACAUAGAAAAAGAAAGUGUUUAGCCGAUCACCGCUAGUUCCAAAGAGAAAGUGGGGGGCGGGGCUUGCAGUGUAGACUCUUCCUGGAAGGGGCUCUUUCUUACUUCCAUACAUAUGAAUGUAAGAACCUGGUUGUUUUCGUGAAUUGGGAGGGGCUGGUGCUUCGACCGCAGGUUUUUAGAGGAAUGUUCAGAAAUGCUUGUGUAACCGGGACAGCCUUUAUCUUAUUUUAUAAUAGCACAAAAUCUGUUCAAGGGUUACCAUACCUGAGGGAUCUCCAACAAACUACUGCAUUACACUACUAGUCAUAGCCCCUCCUUCCUUUCUUCUUCUUCUUCUUCUACUUCUUUUGACUCCCCUAUAUAUUCCAAAGGCUACUGUUCCCCACCCCCUUUUGUAUGACCUCCUGUCAGAGAGGAACUGGAGUGGGCAGGAUCACACAGUGUAUUGUUUUCUGUUUGUUUUAUUACCAGAAUAAAGGGAGGCUUCUCUCCAAGAGGUAA